AUAAGCUCUAAUAGUUUAAUUAAAAUAUUGAUUUUGUAACUCAAAGAUCCAUUUUGGAGCUUCAG
RNAcentral lists this transfer RNA (65 nucleotides) under Songthela hangzhouensis. RNAcentral describes it as "tRNA-Thr". Lineage: Eukaryota; Metazoa; Arthropoda; Arachnida; Araneae; Liphistiidae. The record is from RNAcentral.